AAUGUGGCUCAGUCGGUAGAGCGUUGGCCUGCUGAGCCAAAAGUCGCAGGUUCGAUCCUUGUU
This 63-nucleotide transfer RNA is filed under the name Chattonella subsalsa. It matches the Rfam family "tRNA", at positions 8 to 63 of the family's 71-position model. Rfam says of the family: Transfer RNA (tRNA) molecules are approximately 80 nucleotides in length. The record is from RNAcentral. Lineage: Eukaryota; Raphidophyceae; Chattonellales; Chattonellaceae.